RNAcentral lists this long non-coding RNA (5291 nucleotides) under Sus scrofa (pig). RNAcentral's name for it is "lncRNA (ENSSSCG00050016371.1)". Lineage: Eukaryota; Metazoa; Chordata; Mammalia; Artiodactyla; Suidae. The record is from RNAcentral.
UUGAGUAAUUUUAAAUAGUAAAUAAUGAGCCUCCAGAAUGCUAUAUUCCUCUGAAGACUAGCAUUCACAGAAAUAUAAGUUUCUGGGCCAGGGACUAAAUUCAAUCUACAGCUGCACCUAUGCCACAACUGUGGCAACUCUGGGUCUUUAACCCACUGUGCCACAGGAGGAACUCCUUAAGACUAUUAAUUUUUUUUAUCAGGUAGUUACCCAAUUGAAAUCAAAUUGAGAAUUGUCUUACCAGCAAUGCUUGGCAGCUAAAAUGUCACUUUAGUAAGCAGAGAUAUUUAAAUGAGAAAUUAUUGGGAGUUCCCCUCAUGGCUCAGAGGAAAUGAAUCUGACUAGCAUUCAUGAGGACGCAGGUUCAAUCCCUGGACCUGCUCAGUGGGUUAAGGAUCCAGCGUUGCUGCGAGCAUUGGUGUAAGUUGCAGACACGGCUCAGAUCCCGAGUUGCUGUGGCUGUGGCUGUGGUAUAGGCCAGCACCACAGCAAUGCCAGAUACAAACCAUGCGAUGACCAACACCACAGCUCAUGGCAACACUGGAUCCCUGACCCACUGAUUAAGGCCAGGGAUCCAACCCGCAUCCACAUGGCUAGUCAGAUUCGUUUCCAUGGCACCACAAUAGGAACUACUUUGAAUUAUUUUUUACAGCACUUACCAUAUAUAUUAUUGUCUUUUCAGCUUCUCAAGAUAUUUUGCAAAUUAAUACUGUAUCACUCUGCCUCUUAUGCUAUAUUUACCAUGUAUGAUAUGAGUAUAUAUAUAUGCUUUUUUGUUUUUGCUUUUUAGGGGCGAACCUAUAGCAUAUAGAAGUUCCCAGGGUUAAAUUGGAGCUACAGCCACCGGACUACGCCACAGCCACAGCAAUGUGGGAUGCGAGACACGUCUGCAACCUACACCACAGCUCAUGACAACGCUGGAUCCUUAAUGCCCUGAGUGAAGCCAGGCAUCAAACCCAUAUCCUCAUGGAUACCAGUCGGGCUCGUAACCUGCUAAGCCACAACAGGAACUCCUAAUAUAUUAUUAUUGAUUCCACAAUUAUAAUUUUUGCUUUAAACAUUUGUAAGGUUUUUAGAGAAAUUAAGAGAAAUAAGUCUUUUAUAUUUACCUUCAUACUGCCAUUUCGUAUCCACUCCUUCUUGAAGAUCUAUUGUGAAUUCCAACUGUUCUAUCUUGUCCUUAGGGCCACAGAAGAAAAACUUCUGAUGCUAUUAACAUCUCAUCACUCCAGAACUUUCAGGCAUGAGCUCAUGAACAUAAAUGCAAAACAACUUUAAAUAAAACCUUAGCAAUCCAAACCAAAAACCGUUUUUAAAGGGCAAUAUAUAACAACUGGGGUUUAUCACAGGAAUGCAGGUUUGGUGUAAUAUCUAAAAAUCAACCAUUGUAAUUAAUGAUGUUGUAAUUCAUUAUAUAAACCAACCUGAUGAUCAUCUCAAUAAAUGAAGAAAAGGCAUCUGAUAAAUCCAGUAUCCAUUCCUGACCAAAACACUCAGCAAAUGAGGAAUAGGAAUAAACUCCUCAGUCUGAUAAAGGGCAUCUAUGAAAAAAUAAACUUACGACUAACAUUAUACUUAAUGGUGAAAAAAUUCUUUGCUCUAUAAGAUCAGAAAUAACACAAAGAUGUCUGUUCUUACCAUUUUUCCCCCACUCCCAACCGAAGCACAUGUAAGUUCUCAGGCCAGGAAUCAAAUCUGAGUCACAGCUGCAACCUAUAUACCGCAGCUGCAGCAACCAGAUUCCUUAACCUGCUGCUGCACAGUGGGAACGCCUGCUCUUAGCAUUUCUAUUCAACACUGGGCUGAAAGUUCAAACCAGUGCAAUCAGGCAAGAUAAACAAAAACAGGAGAAAAAAAGAAGUUAAAACCUUAUAUUCACAGACAAUAUAACUGUCUAUGGCAAAAAUUUGAGAUCUACAAAAACAACAAAACACCACAACUAAGUUACUUAGGUCGCAGAACACAAGAUCAUUACAAAAAUAUCCGUUUUAUUUCUUUCUCUUUUUUGUCUUUUUGCCUUUUCUAGGGCUGCUUCCCGCGGCAUAUGGAGCCCUAGAAAAGGCAAAGAGACCAAAUAAAUAAAUAAAUAAAAAUAAUAAUAAUAAUGGAAUGCCACUACAGACCUGUUAGAAUGGAAAAAUUUUAAAGACUGACACAGCUAUCUUUACAGUGCGAUAGACUUGUAAAACGACUGAUCAUGUCAAAUGCUAGAGAGGAUGUGGAGGAACGUGUUUCAGACACUGCUGGUGGAAAUGUAAAAUGGUACAAUCACUAUGCAAAACAGUUUUAACAGUUUUUUAGAAAGCUAACCAUAUACCAAUCAUACUGUCCAACAAUUCCACUCGUUUCUCCAAAGAAGACUUAAGGAUGGCCUAAGGAGGCACGUGAAAAAGUGCUCAACAUCACUAAUCAUUAGAGAAAUGCAAAUCAAAACCACAAUGAGGUACCACCUCACAGCAGUCAGAAUGUCCGUCCUUAGUAAGUCUGUAAGUAACAAAUGCUGGAGGGGAUGUGGAGAAAAGGGAACAGUCCUACACCAAUGACUGGAAUGUAAAUCGGUACCCCUAUGGAAAACAGUAUGGGUUCCUCAAAAAAACUAAAUAUAGAACUACCACAUGAUCCAGCAAUCCCACUCCUGGACAUUUGUCUGGACAAAAUUAUAAUGCAAAGACAUGCACGUACCCCUAUGUUCACUGCAGCACUAUUCAUAACAGCCAAGAAACAGAAACAACUAAAUGUCCAUCAACAGAUGAAUUAUCAUGAUGUGAUACCUAUACACCAUGGAAUACUACUCUGCCAUAAUAAAAACGAAACUGCCACUUGCAGCAAAAUGGAUGCAAUCAGAGAUAAGCAUACUGAGUGAAAUCACUUACAUACACAAUCUAAAAUAUGGCAGAGGGAGUUCAUGUCAUGGCUCAGAGGUAACGAAACUGUGUAGGAACCAUGAGGAUGUGGGUUUCAUCUGUAUCUCGCUCAGAGGGCCAAGGAUCCAAAUUGCCAUGGGCGUGGUUUAGGACUCAGACUCAGCUCAGAUCCGGUGUUGCUAUGGCUGUACCAUAGGCCAGUAGCUGUAGCUCCAAUGUGAACUCUAGCCUGGAAACCUCCAUAUGCCAUGGCUACAGCCCUAAAAAGCAAAAUAAGUAAAUAAAUAAAAUAGGGCAGAAAUAAACCAACCUACAAAACGGAGACUCACAGACAUAAAGAAAAGACUUGUUGUUGCUAGGUGGAUGGGUAAGGGUAGGAGGAAUGGGACGGACUGGGAGGUUGGGGUUAGUAGAUGCCAACUAUUACAUUUAGGAUAGAUAAGCAAUGAGUCCCUACUGUACAGUACAGGGAACUAUAUCCAGUCUCUGGGAUAGAACAUGAUGAAAAGUAAUAUAAAGGAAAUGUAUAUACAUGUGUGUGUAUAUAUAGGUAUGUAUGUAUUAACUGGGUCACUUUGCUCUACAGCAGAAAAUGGCACACUGUAAAACAACUAUAAUUUUUUAAAGUUAAUAAACAUUACGAUUUAAAAAAUUUUUAAUUAAAAAAAGACUUGUCCACAUUCAUAGUAGCUUUAUUAGUAGAAGACAAAAAACUGCAACAAUCCAAACAUCCAUCAAUAGGUGAAUAUCAACAAACUGUGGUAUAAUAAUUCCCAGCUAAUAAAAGGAAUAAAUUAUUGAUACCAGCAACAUGAAUCAAUCUCAAAAAAAUUACGAAAUCAGACCAUGUCCCUCUGGGGAAAAAAAAAAAAAAAAAAAAAAAAGAGUACAUAACUAUAUGAUGAUAUAUAAAAUUCUAGAAAAUGCAAACUAAUGUAAAAUAACAGAAAAGCAGAUUAGUGGUUGCUUUAGAAUCAAAGGAAGGAAAAAUAGGAGGGAGGAAACUACAAACUACAGCAAGCAAAGUUUUGAGGUUGACGGCUAUAUUGACAAUCCUCAUUAUGAUAGUUUUACAAGUGCACACGUCAUAACUUCUCAAAUCUAGACUUCAUAUACAUGCCGUUAUAAGUCAAAUAGAGCUGAUUUUUUUUUGGGGGGGGGUUGUCUUUUUAUGGCCACACCUGCAGCAUAUGGAAGUUCCCAGGCUAGGGGUAAAAUUAGAGCUGUCACUACUGCUGAGCCAGACCACUGCCACAGCAAUGCCAGAACCCUAACAACCCCCUACGUGAGGCCUGGGAUCGAACCCACAUCCUCAUGGUUCCUAGAUGGGUUGGUUACCACUGAGCCUUGACAGCAACUCCUACAGCUGAUUUUUGAAAGGAAAAGUUUUAUCUUUCAGAAAAUUUCUAAAGACAGGCAAAUGCAAAUACAAUUUUCCUAUUUUAUACAUAUAAAUUAUGUAUAUUAUGUAUCUUACUAUUCUCAUUUAAUAUUGUACGCAAAUAUCUUUCUAUAGUAGUAUAACUGUUUCCCCCUCCCCCCUUUUUUUGGUCUUUUUAGGGCCCCACCGAAGGCAUAUAGAGGAUCCCAGGCUAGGGGUCGAAUUGGAGCUGUACCUGCUGGCCUACGCCACAGCCACAGCCACAGCCACACUGGAUCUUAAACCCACUGAGCAAGGCCAGGGACUGAACCUGCGCCCUCAUCAACAUUAGGUUCAUUAACCACUGAGCCACGAGAACUCCCAUCUCUUUUUUAAACAGAAACAUACUGUGUAUAGUAACAAUGAACCACAACUGACAGGAAUUUGGGUUAUUUCUAAUUUGCUACUAUAAUAAUAAAAUGAACAUAUUUUGCAUAUAUUUGUAAGCAUAUACAUAAAAGCACAAGAUGCAUUUAUUUAAAUCUCUGUAUUGUCCUAUCUCAGGAUCUACAUAAACUGUUGGAAUUAAUAAGUUAAUUUAGCAAGAAUAUUACUGCUGUAAGUAGCAACUAGAAAAGAAAAAAAAUUCAAUACUACAUAAAAUAACACCAAAAAAAAAAAAUCAAAAUGCCUAGAAAUAAAUCCACAAAAAAAGUACCUCUACAUAGAAAACCACAGAAUAUUAUUGGAAAAAUUAAAGAUCUAAAUAAAUGAAGAAUAUACUGGGUGUUCCCACUGUGGCUCAGCACAAACAAAUCUGACUAGUAUCCAUGAGGACGCAGGUUCAAUCCCUGCCUGGCCUUGCUCAGUGGGUUAAAGUUUCUUUGUGGCUGUGAGCUGUGGUAUAGGUCACAGAGACGGCUUGGAUCUGGCGUUGCUGUGGCAUAGGCUGAUGGCUACAGUUCCUGAUUCAGCCCCUAGCUUGGGAACCUCCAUAUGCUGCAGGUGCGACCCUAAAAAGACAAAAAAAGAAAAAAACUCUAUACUAUGUUCAUGGAUUAAAGAAC